UGACUGUUUAGAGAGAGAUGAGAGAUGAAUAUGUAUUAUUUGAUUAAAUUUUUAAGAAGAAGGCAUAUUAAAAUGUACUGGAAUUGAAAAUGAUAAAAAAUAAAUAAAAGAUCUAUCGGCCAGAGCUCCCUGGCUAGAACCCUUUUUGUACUACUUUCGGGUGUAGUGAGGUGCAGUUGAUGGCGCAUUGGCCGGUGACGGCGGGUAGGCGCAAGUUGGUUCGCGGUUACAACGGUUGGAAAAUAGAAUUUGAAAAGCGGAUCUGAAGGUUUGGAGGUUUGAAAAUCAUGGAGUGAUGCCUACGUAACUUAAUGGUCGGUGAUUGAUCAGAAAAUUUUAGCCAGUAGCAGAAUGAGUAGAAAGAGCCAGUUUUUUUUUUUUUUUUUCUAUUUUCUUUAUAUGCCGUGUUGUUUUGUAUGAUUUUACACUGCACAAACAGUGGUUCGAGUGGUCUACAUUAAUGGUUUUGUUUCAAUGUUCGAAUCGGAAUCGUAUCCGUGUUUGGAUCAGAAUGAUAUGCAUGUAUUGAAGCUAUUGAGGGCAGAGGGCUUUAAUAGUGCUGCAUCAAGGUUUCUAUGAUCUGGGAUGAGGUUAUGAUGACCUAAGAAUUGAGAUAAGGGCUCAUCGAGGGAUUUUUUGUUGAAUAUUAGGGAUGAAUUUUGGUUGAUCUUUUGUGGGUUCUUAUUUUUGUUCGUCUGUGUUCUGUUGGUAGAAUUGUGUUGUGUAGUAUUAUUGGACACUACGAAUUUUCUAUUUUUGAUUGAAAUGGGGUUUUACCUGCAGUGAUGGAGGUGGAUUCCUCCCAUACUUUAUUAGAUCUUAAUGUGUGAAACUAUUUAGUCUCAUUUCGGUUAUUAAAAAUUUG
RNAcentral lists this long non-coding RNA (865 nucleotides) under Citrus maxima (pomelo). RNAcentral's name for it is "long non-coding RNA (CMAX_LNC001046)". The record is from RNAcentral. Lineage: Eukaryota; Viridiplantae; Streptophyta; Magnoliopsida; Sapindales; Rutaceae.